This 250-nucleotide ribosomal RNA is filed under the name uncultured prokaryote. Its description in RNAcentral is "partial 16S ribosomal RNA". It matches the Rfam family "Bacterial small subunit ribosomal RNA", at positions 524 to 773 of the family's 1533-position model. The record is from RNAcentral.
UACAUAGGUGGCAAGCGUUAUCCGGAAUGACUGGGCGUAAAGGGAGUGUAGGUGGUAAUGUAAGUUAUAUGUGAAAGACCUGAGCUUAACUGAGGAACUGCAUAUAAGACUGCAAGACUAGAGUGUGAGAGAGGUAAGUGGAAUUCCUAGUGUAGCGGUAGAAUGCGUAGAGAUUAGGAAGAACACCAGAGGCGAAGGCGGCUUACUGGCUCAUAACUGACACUGAGGCUCGAAAGCGUGGGGAGCAAAC